GCCGGGGGUGCGGGAGGCCCAGAGCCGGACCGCUUCCGGUGCGGUGGCCGUGGGGAGGGGGCGGUCGGUGCCCUGGCCCUGGGCCAGGAGCCGGUC
Molecule: transfer RNA, 96 nt
Filed under: Streptomyces seoulensis
Lineage: Bacteria; Bacillati; Actinomycetota; Actinomycetes; Kitasatosporales; Streptomycetaceae
Description: tRNA-Arg
Source: RNAcentral